Molecule: long non-coding RNA, 978 nt
Organism: Gossypium arboreum
Lineage: Eukaryota; Viridiplantae; Streptophyta; Magnoliopsida; Malvales; Malvaceae
Exons: 2
Source: RefSeq, a predicted model, not a curated record
CUUAAUGAGUGUGUUGGGAUCUAUUUAAGAUUGCUUUGAGGAGGAGAGGUUUUCACAGCACAAAGUGGGAAGAGGGAUAAGGGGAAAGGAAUUAAGUGUGAGGAGGUCGUACCUUGUAUGGUCUACAGAUUCCUACUAUGGCUUUGAUUUCCUUGAGUUCUCUCUCACUCUCACCCCAAAAAAACACUUACACUAGAUCUACCAUCAUUUUAUUGUUAAAGAGGGAAAGGGAGAAAGAGUUGCCGGGAGUUUUUGGAAGUGGGAUGGGUGGAAAGAUUUGUAUUUUCUCUCUUGAUUUUCUAAGAAUGUAAAGCAAAUCUUUCCUACUCCUCCCAUUCCACUUAUUUCCAGUUCUUCCUCUCCACUUCUUACUUUUCUCGAUUGUUUUUGCUCUUUCUAGCACUCGUUGCAUCGACAUUUGAAUUCAGCUUCUAUUUUCUGUUUGAAAGCAAAUUGAUAAGUUCAGGUACAAAGGAAAUCCUUAUUUUGACUAUAAAGAGUCACGAAUCUCUUUAGUAUUUCGGAAAGUAAAAGCUAAUUUAACCAACAUCGCAGAAAUUUUUAGGUCUGGCGUUGGGUAGGUGAAGAUCAAUUAAAUCGUUUGAUUAAUUGAUUUAGUUGGAAGACAGGUGUGAAGUUUGAUCCACUGCCCCAAAAUAACUCAACAAUAAAAUAAGCUUUGCUAAUGGAUCUGAUUGUCUUAUGGAAUUGAGUCGUUAGCGUUGUGUGGGUGAAUAGAUUCAGACCGGCGGGGCGGCACGUAAAGGUUUUAUUGCACUGCCCAGAAAGCUUCCGCGAAAAAUAGUUGAAGCAUUUGGUUUUCUUCUCAAUUUUUGUUCAAUCUGUGUCUUUUCCCAAAAGAAAUUAUAAAGGUCAAAUUCUGCUAGUACCAUUGUAUUUUGUUUAGGCUUAAUUCAUGAUUUAUCCUUUGGAGUGUACCUAUUUUUUUACUCUGAUAUUUCAACUUUUUUUUCUCAA